Long non-coding RNA from Homo sapiens (human), 834 nucleotides. Ensembl annotates it as MIR3147 host gene. NCBI's taxonomy places the organism in Eukaryota, Metazoa, Chordata, Mammalia, Primates, Hominidae. The record is from Ensembl.
GGGCGGGGCGAGUACUGCUCCAAGAUAUGGCAACCGUGACAGCUUUGCGAGUAGCUCCAGGUCCCCUGCUGCUCCGUGAGAAAUCAAACUUCUGGCAAUGACGAAGCAUGAAGCCAGCAUCUCAGGGAGAGGUAGUGACAUAAUUACACGAUAAGACAAGCCGCCUGGUCUCGCUGUCACUUGGCAGGCAAGAGAGGUGAGAAAACUGACACUUGGAGAGGUAGAGUAGCUUUAUUUACUUCACACAAGCUUUUGAUGAAUUUCAAGUCUCAACCUAGAAGUCUUCCUCUAAGGUUCGUGCUUUCACGCACCUGUAAUUCAAAUACUGAUGAAAACAAAACUAUUGCCCUCCUACCAAAUGGGAAAUUAAUGUUAUGACUGGAUAAGACAAUUGUGAAGAAACUGCACUUCGAGGUUGUCUGUCUCCGUAUUCCGAUGGAAAAGGCUGGACUUUAGAAGCAUUGCUCGCUCCUUCAGUUUCUAACAAGCCAGUUCUUGGAGAUACUAGGAAGCCAAGAGUUUCCUCCAGGAAUGGAGAUUCCUUGGAAGUGAGGUUCACCUUGAGUCAAGAAAGACGAAUCACACACGGUCAAAGGCAAUUGCCCAGGGUCUCAAGAACAGAGCCAGAAAGAAGAGCUGGGGCCGGCGGGAUUGUGGGGGUCCUCUCUCCCACCUGAAAAGCUACAGCUGCCUGCCGAUCCUCUCAAGAGGAGACCUCUCUGGGCUCCAGCACCUAAAACAGACAAACCUGGGAGGAUGCUUCUCUCUUCUGUGUCACACGUGUCCUGGAGAAAACCCAUGUAUCUGAAUGACCAAAGAAAAGUAUGAGAAAAA